GACGAUCAGAUGGCCGAGUUGGUCUAAGGCGCCAGAUUAAGGUUCUGGUCCGAAAGGGCGUGGGUUCAAAUCCCACUCCCGUCG
Non-coding RNA from Lolium rigidum, 84 nucleotides. Lineage: Eukaryota; Viridiplantae; Streptophyta; Magnoliopsida; Poales; Poaceae. The record is from the annotation of a RefSeq genome assembly.